CCUACGGGAGGCUGCAGUGGGGAAUCUUCCGCAAUGGACGAAAGUCUGACGGAGCAACGCCGCGUGAGUGAUGACGGCCUUCGGGUUGUAAAGCUCUGUUAAUCGGGACGAAAGGCCUUCUUGCGAAUAGUUAGAAGGAUUGACGGUACCGGAAUAGAAAGCCACGGCUAACUACGUGCCAGCAGCCGCGGUAAUACGUAGGUGGCAAGCGUUGUCCGGAAUUAUUGGGCGUAAAGCGCGCGCAGGCGGAUCAGUCAGUCUGUCUUAAAAGUUCG
RNAcentral lists this ribosomal RNA (275 nucleotides) under uncultured Veillonella sp. Its description in RNAcentral is "partial 16S ribosomal RNA". It matches the Rfam family "Bacterial small subunit ribosomal RNA", at positions 338 to 604 of the family's 1533-position model. The record is from RNAcentral. Lineage: Bacteria; Bacillati; Bacillota; Negativicutes; Veillonellales; Veillonellaceae.